UCUGAAACCUCAAUAUAAUGAAUUAGUUCUAAUACAGGAUAAAUCCCCUAGAAACUAGUAAAUACAGAGCCAUGAGCUCUAAUACAAAAAUACAAGUCUGAAAUGACCUAAUAUAACACUGUAUGAAAUGAAGAUAAUAGUGCAUAAGAGAUGAGACACAAAGACUGCGGGCGAGAAUGCAAAUCUACCUUGUCUCUCGAAACUCAGCUCAACAAGCAACUCCGCUAAUGAUGACUGGUCCCGACACCUGGAUAUGUAGAAUUAAGUGUAGAGUGUAGUAUGAGUACAACCGAAUGAAGGCAGUGACGAGCUCAAAAAUAGUAUUCAAAAUUCCAAUGACAAAUAACAGUAGCAACUCAGAAUAUAUAAAGGGAAACAAUGGAAAGCAAUUAGCUAAAGGAUAUUAUGUUCAGCUUGUUCAAAUUUCAAAAAUUUAGACAUUCUUUCAAGUAUAACAGUUAGAAACCAACACAGAUAGAACAUUUCAUUUACAGUUGGCAUAAGGAAGGUACAUCUUUAUGCCUACAUGUCAAGUAUACAUAUGAAAUCAACAAUAUCAUAGAGGAUCCUUCAUAAUAUUUACACUUAGCAUUGCACGGGUGCCUAACAUAACUGCCCAUCAUCUAGCACGUAUAUAAAAUAUUGUGCCUGUCCUCACUGUUGGCAUGUCAGACUCCAGAGGGGCGGAUCCUGCCGAAGCGCUAAUCAUAAUCAUUUAUCCCAAUAGUGAGGCCUGGUGCACGUGUUGCCCCAAAACAAUAACACUUAGCCCAAUAUGGACUUGGCGUAUCUGUCACCUCAAAAUCAAGACCAAACCGCCCUAUAGACCAAACUCAAUCAUUUGUCGUUCAAUUCUCAGUUAAACACAUCUCACAGUACUCAGAUUAUCAAUGUUACAUAUAAGAGACAUCAAUAAUAUGUGAGGAAUCAAAUAAGAAAUACUGAGACAGUGAUAUCAUACACAGAUAUAACAUCAUGACUGAGAACAUGCAUACAAUAAGGCAAAUAGCUCCGAAAUGGCAAGAAUAGCCAUAUCAAGUCUCAAACAAGUAGCACAUAGCUUAGACAUGAUUUCUAACAUGAAUCAUAGUUCAAAUAAUCAAACAAGUGAGGAACACACAGGGUAUAAUAAGGUAUGAUACCAAAACAAUCCCGGUAAUAGCGUAAGGGCCUGCCCAAACAAUGAACACAUCAUUGCAGGUACACACGCUCAUCGCCUAGCACGUACGACAUCCCAAUAUCUUUCAUAUAACGUAGUUUCAAGGGUUAAAUACCCUCAAAUCCAAGUUUAGAUAUGUUACUUACCUCAAAGCGGGCAAAUAAAUACUCCAAAAAAUCCUUGCCUCGCGAAUCCUUCUUAGAGAGACUCGAAUCUAGCCAAAGAAACUUAAUACCAUCAAUAAUAGCUAUAGGUAACAAUUCCAAAAGAUAAAGCUAAGGUGUUAAUCAAAUAUGCAAAGUCAACCCAAAAAGUCAACCCUGAGCUCACACCUUGGAACCCGACAGACUUCACAAAUUCCGAACACCCAAUCAAUUACAAUUCCAACUAUACCAAAAUCACCCAUUUUUAACCACAAAUCGACCCUCAAAUCAUCACAUCUCUCUCUCCAAUAACAUAGUCCAACAAUCCCCAAAUCCCAUAUAAGAUUCAUGAAAAUAAGUGUAAUAAUUAAUAAGUAAUCAAAUAUCUAACAACAAAAGUGAUUAAUUUUCACUUACCUCCUCAAUUAUGGUGAGAAGUGCUCCAAAAAUUGCCCUUAUCCGAGUUUCAAAUAUCCCAAAAUAAGAAAAACAAAGAAGCCCUUCGAUUUAUAAUUUCUGCCCAGAGAUACCGCAUCUACGGUCCAAGAGGUCGCACCUGCGAUGCCGUACAUGCACACAAACCAUCUCAGGUGCGAAAUAUCAAUAAACUCCUACCAUGUGCACCUGCGGUUCAAAAUUCGCACCCGCGGGACCCCUUCUACGGUCAAAACCUUGCUCCUUCGCACUCGCACCUGCAAAUCCAUUCCGCUUCUGCGACUCCAGUCCAUCCGGUACAUUUUUGCUUCUGUAGAACAUUUCUCGUAGAUGCAGGAUCGCAGAUGCGGAAAAUUCAUCGCAUCUGUGGCCUUCCCAGCUCCGGCCAAAAUGUGCUUCUGCGACCACUGGGCCGCUUCUGCGGCCUCGCACCUACACUAGGCCUGGAGCCAUCAGCAUUACCUCUAAGUGUAAACAUGUUCCGCCAACCAUCCGAAUCACUCGCAAGGGCCCCGGGACAUCAGCCAAACUUACCAGAAGGUCCUUAAACAUGAUACGAACUUACUUGAACCCCCAAAUAUUAUCAAACAACACCAAAAAUUGUGAACCACAUAUCAAUUCAAGCCUAAUGAACUAAUGAACUUCCAGCUUCUAAAACCAAAGUCGAAACAUAUCAAAUCAACUCUGAUUGACCUCAAAUUUCACACAAGUCAUAAAUGACGCAACGGACCUAUUCUAACUUCUGGAACCAAAAUUCAAAUAUGAUAUUAAUAAAGUCAACUCUCUGUCAAACCUCUCCACCUUCCAAACCUUCAACUUUCCAUCUUUUGCCAAAAAGCAUCAGACCAACCUACAGACCUACUAAUCAACAUCCAGACAUACACCUAAGUCCAAAAUCACCAUACAAAACUAUCGAAACCAUCAAAACUCUCUUCUGGAGUCGUCUACACAAAUGUCAAACUCCAGUCAACUCUUACAUCUUAGACCUCCAACCUUGGGACAAAGUGUCCCAAUUCAUCCCGAAACAUCCCCAAAAUCAAACCAACUACCCUAACAAGUCACAAAACCACAAAUGAACAUAGAAAGAUCAAUAAAUAUGGGAACAUGGCUACAAUACACCAAAUGACCGGCCGGAUUGUUACACUCGUGGAUUGAAUUGGCUUAGUUAUCCCAUAUGAUCGGGCUCCCAGCCCGGACCCUGGUCUCUACCUAUACUCCAUCAUUUCUCUAAUUGCCAUUUUUUACCCACGUGGUGACUGCAUGUUGUGAUCCUGAUCAUUCUUCCCUAUUUCUAUUUCCUGCAUGAUCUCGGCUGCAUGGAAAACUACCCUAUCCAACCCUUCUAUAAAAGUAACUGCAUGUUCUAAGUAAGUUGAUUAACUUCAAUUCCCAUGUAUCAUAAUCUUUUACAAUCCCAUUCAAAUUUCAUGCACUAAUGGAGAGUGGAAAGAACUGCCCCUACCAUGUAUAUCUAGGUCCCUGUUAGUAGCAAAUUGUAUGAAGAUGAAAUAUCCAUCACUUGGAACAAUAUAGGGCACUCAACUGGUCCAAUUUGCAAAGCUAGGUAGAUUUCUCUGAUUACAUCUUUCUGUGACACAUCAAAAUCCAUCACCCUCAUGUGGCUUUCUUUUACUUCCCUUAAAUGGAUGCUUAAUUCUUGCGGAGUGGAGAACAUGCAAAUUUUACUCCAAAUCCCCCAUCGACAAGUACUCGAGAUAUAUCUUUGUCUCCAUACUUGAAUGUAAUGUGUAGAGACUUGUUGUGAUCCAUUCCCUCCAUAGAAAGUUCAUCUCUUCGAAAGGAAAUCUUAUUUGCUGCCACCAUCUUCCCAAUGGUUACUGCUAGUGCCUGACUGGUGGUAAUGCCUGGCAUGGUCACCCCACUUAGAAUGUUUACUAGAGCGUCCUUGUGACUGUAAGAACUCAUCAAUAUGUCCAUAAUUGAUAUGUGGAUGGGGGGUGUUUCUUAGCUGCUCUUCUAUAGAGUACUCUUUAAUUGGCAUCUUUCUCUAGAACUCUACGGCCUCUGUGUCAGAUAUGUUUCUCCUCUGAUUUUGUUUUGUAACGUAGAUCGCAAACAUACUUCCAUUCACUCCUAAAUGAAGAGGGGGAUAGGGGUAUUGUGUUGGAUGAUUUGGAGCACUCCAGGAGUCGUCAUGACUUUGGUUUUUUCAUAUCAAAAUAGGUGAGGUCAAGGUGGCUAUGCAUAAGAUGUGCAUGGAAAGAGUGACUAGGCCAGAUGAAAUUCCGAUAGAAUUUUGGAAGAACGUGCGUAGAGCUGGCUUGGAAUGACUCACAAGAUUGUUUAACAACAUAUUUAGGACGGCGGAAAUGUUUUAGGAAUGGAGGUAGAGUAUGAUGAUUCCGGUGUAUAUUAACAAGGGAUAUAUCAAAAAUUGUAACAACUAUAGGGGUAUUAAGAUACUGAUCCACAUUAUGAAAGUUGGGGAGAGAGUGGUUGAAGUGAGGGUGAGGAAGUGCGUGUCUAUUUCCAAAAACCAGUUCGGAUCCGGUACAUUCUACUACCGAAGCCAUUUACCUUGUAAGGACGUUGGUGGAGCAGUAUAGGGAGAGAAAGAGAAACUAACAUAUGAUGUUCAUUGAUAUUGAGAAAUCAUACGACAAAGUUUAGAGGGAGAUCCUAUGAAGGUGUUUGGAGGCUAGGGGUAUUCCGGUGGCUUACACUAGGGUGAUUAAGCACAUGUAUGAUGAAGACAAUACACGAGUGAGGAUAGUGGUGGUUGGGGGGGGUCAGAGCAUUUUUCAGUUGUGAUGGGGUUGCUCCAAGGGUCGACUCUUAGCCUAUUGUUAUUUGCCUGAGCGUUGGACACACUAAUGCACCGCAUUUAAGGGGAGGUACCUUGGUGUAUGUUAUUUCCGGUUGAUAUUAUUUUGAUUGACGAUAUGCGAGGCAGAGUUAACGUAUGGCUGGAGGUUUGGAGACAGACCUAGAAGUCUAAAGGUUUCAAGUUAAGUAAGAGCAAGACUGGGUAUGAUAUACAAAAUAUAGAUGACUCGUCUACAAGCCUCUAAAGAUAACUAAACUAUACCAUGGUCGAGAUGGGGCCUCGACCUACCCAUCAAACCUGUAUAUAUAAAAAAUGGACUCCAAGUUCUAGACCUGAUAACUCCGAGGAAGUGGAGCUUACUAACUAAGAUGAUGUCUGACUCUAUCUACUGGGACGGUCUACCUAGCUGUCUAUCAGGACCUGCAUGCAUGAAAUGCAGUGUCCCUAGUAAAAGGGAUGUUAGUAUGAAAUAAUGUACCGAGUAUGUAAGGCAACAGAAUAACUGAAAGCUGAAACUAAACUAAUAAUAUAAUAACUAAAAGUAACUAGGAGUUAAAGAUAAUCUGAAGAUAUGCUCACCUGCUGAUACUGACUCAACUCUCUCAAUACAAUAAGUAAAAUGGUUGUCCGGCAUUAUAAGGCUCGGUAUAUGUAACUGCUCUGCCGUAGUAGGCUCUCUCAUUGGCGCUCGGCCAUACUAGGCUUUGUAUCUCGGCCAUUCUGGGCUUGCUCAUAGGCACUCGGCCACAGUAGUCUCUGUAUAUAACUCACCAUCUGAUCUGAGGUUGCCCAGUAGGGGCAUGCCUAUUAAUUAUAGCUCGAUGGUGGUGAAAAUACUGUAAUACAGUAUAUAUAUAUAUACACUAUCUGCCCUCUUGGCUGAAAGAAGACAAAACUAAAUUGAGUAUGAAGUCCCGAUAAGAGAGAAUGCUAUAACUUAUGAGACUAGGAAAAUGUUCAUACAUUCAGAAAUAUGAACUUCUUUUAUGUCUCGUUGUCAAACAUAUGUAGUUAUUGGAUCACGUCACAAUGAAGGAAAGGUUUAGCCUUAACAUACCUUAAUUCUGUUGAGUUCUUAAUACCUUCCAAGCGAUUCUUCAAAAAACUCAACUCAAUCUACCAUAGCAUAAGGUGAUUCAAAGCCAAUGCUGAGUAAAGAAUAAGUUCACAACUUAAACUAGUAGCUCGUUUACGUAAAUUUGGGCAGCACCUCCAUUGUAACAAGGCCCUCCUCCAAUACCAUAUAACACAAACACCAAGAAAAAAACAAAAAAUAACAUGUAUGCAUCAUUUUUCAACCUUAUCUCCAUCACAAUAUAUCACAAAACAGCCCACACACCCUAAUCACUUCAUACAUAUAACGAGAACAAAAGUAGUGCCAAAAAACCUAAAAAUGUAACGAUGAAUGACCAGCCCACCAUUGCAUCAUUAUGUGGUGUUUCUCACUCACCUUUUAUCCUUCAAAACUCCAUAAAACAUCAGCGAAAUAGACAACCCAAAAGCAACACGAAACAACCCACAAAAUAGUCCACUACAAGUUGAAUAACUCGAACUCACGACUUCCGAUCACUAUCCCGUGAGUUCUAACUACUAGGAAACGAAGAUGUUAUAUUAACUAUGAAGUACUUUCCAAAACACAAACUACAAAGUAAAAGAGAGGCGAUAUAGCGAUACUUACGUCGUAGGGAUCGUUCUAUUGUUAUCGCUUCAUGAUUUCGUACCCAAGAUGUUAAUAUUCUUGGAAACCAUUGUGGAUAGUUUGAUAAUAAGUUUAGGGGUCUUAUGCUGGUUGUGGUAUGUGGAAAAAUAAAGAAAGAGACGACAUAAGGCCAAUAUAUAUAUAUAUAUAUCCAUUUUUGAAAAGUCAAAGAGGUGCUAGCUUGGCACCCUAUUAUUGGCUCUUUUUCAGGCGCUUAUAUCUUUUUAUCUGGAUGUCGUAUGAACAAAAAGUUAAGAGCAUUAGAAACUACAUUGCAAGAACUUAAAUUUGGUAUAUAAUAUGUCCCAAAAAGAUCUCAUAUAACACACGAAAUGUAUUGUUCAAAAAUCUUUAGUGACAAACCUACUUGUCACCUAUGCAGUAUGUGCAGUCUCACGAACCUGCAAAUAUCUCUCUACUCCUAUGUUGUAUCAAAGAACGCUUUAAUGCGUUAGAAAAUAGACUCGUAUAUUUUCAAUUUAGUAGGUAGAUAAUCCCCUAUUUGCAAUUACAUUGGGAGAAAAGCUCAGUUACAUUUGACCUAAGUUUUAUCAUAUUUAUGAAUGCAACUUGUGAUGAUAUUUGCCAACUUUUGUUCCACGAUUCGCUUUACUUCAUAACAUAACACACGACUGUCAUAAGACAAAAAUAACUCAUACCAUAAUCUCCUUAUCAUUUUGCGCACCCUAAUCUCACCCCAAAAGCAAAUGUUAUAACAUUCCCAACUUGUCGACUUUCGACGAAACUUAUUUUCGUUAAUUGGUUUAGCUUCUAAGCCUUCCAACCCUCUCGGUACUUGCAGUCCAUGAUCUUAAAUAUUUGUAACCUCAAAGAUAACAUGAUUAAUUUACUUUAUGUACUUUCAAGGAUGAUCUCAUUUCUGAGCUUACAUCAAUUAUCUUACGAUGUACUUUUGCGUACGAAAACAUAGGGUGUAACAUCAUUCCCCCAUUUGAAACAUUCUUCUUCGAAUGUUGAGUGAUGUGCUUAUCUCUUAUGAAUAAUUUUAUAUUGUCCUUUCCAUUUAGGCAACUAUUUUGUGAAUAAAGCCAAAGGCCAGGGCGUUCCCCACAUUAGGCCUCUUUCUCACACCACGACCUGUGGUCAGAAUUCUUCUAAUGUCGUAACUAUCGCUACCUUCUUUCAUGUAGCAUGUACGACUUUGUACUUGUAUGUGCGUCUACGCAACUCUUAUAUCCUUUUUCCUCCAGCUUUUAUCCUAUCUCUAGGCUUCACUUUAUGAACAUAUACAGAAUUAUAACAAGCUGUCCCUCUAGGAAUCUAUGUACUUUGUCAAACUUACGACUAUUGCUAUAUCUUUUUUCAUAGCCUCAGUUAUCUAUCCUUAUGGCUUUACUGCAUCUAGUAGGUCAUAAUAUACAAUAACACUUACUUCAGUUUAUUAUUACCGAGGUUUGCUAACCAACUCCAGGUUACUCUCUCAGUGCUUAUCAUAUAAGUAUAAAUCUAACUCCUUUAAUGCUUCCUUAUUACUAUUCAUCUAAAAAAUGACAUCUUAAUCUCCUCUCCUACUUUGGAACUUUUAUCCAACUAUUGUUGAGUCACAUUAAUGUUGAUCUAUAAUCUACCAUUGAUAACUUGAAACUUCUUAUGUAAUACCAUGUCACUCGGUUCCACACCUCAUCGGGGAACAUCUAAAGUUAUUUGCUUGAUCCACUUAGAGACAAUACUCUACUUCAAUAACUGUAUUUCAUAGCAUCCCAACGUGAUUCACCUUAUGGGGAUAUUUUAAUCCUAUACAGUUCAUGAAAUCCCUUUUCUAUGAAUCAUUAACCAAUCAAAGGCCUAAACGCCAUCCUCUUAUCUAUCACAAUAACACCCUUAUUCUACCACUAGGGAAACAUUCCAUCUCGUAUAAAUUCUCCUAGUCAUAAAAUACUCUAUGUUAACUCAUGUUAUACUGAGCUUUUUAUAACUUAUGGAAACCAUCAGCUCUCUUAUUGUGAUGGGUUUAAUCCCAAGGACUUACCUAUUCUCGUCACCUUCUCACUCACCAUUUCUUAUCCUUACUCAUGUCUACCUAAAACCUUGUCGCUUUACCAUACUUUAGCUUUACAUAUAGCUAUUUAUACUACUCACAACCUUCCUUUAACUUGCUAGAACCAUAGAUUUUCUUAUGUUAUUCUGGAACCUAAAGCGAGACAUUAUAUCAUCUCUAACUCUUCUUUACUCUCUAAACUAGAACUCUCUGUAUCUGGAAACCACAGGCGGGAAAAUAUGCCACUAACGAUGCCACUAUCAUUUCUUGAUACUAUAUCAUGACACUUCUAGCCCUCUAUCUGAAGUCUGGACUAUUCACAACCUUCUACACUUGAGUAUCUCGUACCUUCUUUACCUUUACCUUUAUUGCUUUGAAUCUUCUGUUACUUUCAUUACCUCCCUUCCACAUGGGUGGAAUUCACAUCCACAACUUGAAGCUCUACUAUAAUACUUGCACCUCUGGUGCAUAAACAAUUCGGUGGGAGCUCCAUACUGACUUCUUAUGAGGCUAGUACUCUUGUAACUAUUUUUAUUGUAGAGCCGUUAUAGAAUAUGGCUAUUGUGCUAUCUCUUUUGUACCUAUGAUAUUUAGAGUGAUUCUACAAUGUUCUAAAUCACGAUUUCUAUACUCAUCGGGGUCUAAUAAUCAGACUCUUAAUUCACUUAACUGAUGUAACUUUUUAGUUUCCUCUUCUAUCCCAGCCUUUAAGUAGGCUUACUUUAUCUUCUGAUCUGCAGCUCAGGGUAUUAGUUAUUACAUUAUCCCCUUGUGGACGCUAUGGAACAUCCAUGAUAUCACCUUCUAGCAAUUCAAGCUUUUGUCUGUGAUGUGGACUCAAUUCUUUAUUUUAACAUAUGAUGGAGUCUCCUAUAGCUGUAUCAUUGUCAACAUAUAUGCUUCAUGGAUAACACUCUGAAAUCUUAUGUAUGUUUAUAAUGUAUCUAACUUUGGGUGAUAGAUCAAAUAAUUCCUUUCGUGCCUUUUUAGCUUUUGUUAAAAGUAAGAAAUUACCUUUCUUGGUCGUUCUGCCACUUGGUGCAUGAGUACUUGGCUUAUCUUAGUGCCCACAUAUAUUGGAAUUUUAUGCAACUCAUAUGAUCUCAAAUAUUACUUGGGCUUUUACUUCCCGUUCCUUAGUUACGACAGGUGCCACUUUGUUAUGGAGUGAAUAAAAUGUCGUAGUGAGACUGUUGUUAGAAGAUAAUUUCUUCUUUAGGUCACUAUGCUUAGUUUGAAGCCUACUUCCUUAUUUUCUCAGCUAGUCUUUCGUUGUAGCACUUAGGGAAGACUCUUUGACUCUUGUAAACCUAUGAGCUUAUCCCAUCAUAUACCUCACGGAAUUUUUGAUGUUUUUACUCACCCAUAAAUAUUCUAUGUUACAUACCUUCGUGCCUUGUUCUCAUAAGGUUACUUCUGAACUCAAAUUUUUUUAUCUCCCCCGUGGCACUCUCUUUUAUUUUCAUAACACUUUUAUGGAAACUAUAACUACCUCAACUCUUAUCUGAGUAUUUCUCAAGGAUUACAAUGUCAUAUCUAUGAGACUGAAUUCCCUAGGCUGGGGUUCACUAGGUUUAUCUUGCACGACCUGCUGAUUUAUCUGUAUCCUCUUGUCUAGCCAUAACUAGGCUCUUCCUGAAUCAACUACUAACUACUCGUUGGUCCAUUCUCAUAUCUAUAUCUCGCGUUAUCUCUCUUGGGUUGUUUCCUUUGUCUUAACUUACCUCUCGUACUAGCUCCUUAUCUAUCAAGUGUUCAUUCACACUUUGUUAUCAAGAACAUCCUGGGAGGGUGUAAGGCCCUAUAAAAUUCUUCCUAAAAACCGGGAUAUCGUGAUGCCAAGUUAGGAUUAUGUGUUAGAGAUUCAUGUAAUUCUUUGCGGCUUUCUGGAUUGAACUGUGCAUUAAAAAGUUAAAGGAAAAUAUUCACAAAAGAAUGCAUUUCUGCGAUCCAUUAUGCAGCCGCAUAAUCACUCUGCGGACCGCAUAUUGGUCACAGAGUGAGGCAGAAAACUUGGACAAUUUUGAGGCCAGUUAUGCGGCCAAUUAUGCGAUCGCAUAAUCGCUUUGCGGGACGCGUAUUGAUCGCAUAAUCGUCUUGGAAUUUUGCGAAGGGAAGUUCUGCGGUGCAUUAAGCAAUCGCAGAAUAGGUAUGCGGACUACAUACUGGUCGCAGACCUGGGCAUAAACUUCAAGCCCCUAAGGGCUACUUUUGCGGUCACUUUGCGGGCCGCAUAAUAUAAUCCGUAUCGGGGCCCUAGAUUCCUAAUUUUUAAACCCGAUCACUUGUCGUUAUAACUUAUGCAAUGUCUCAUUUUAAGCCUAUUUCGUGGUACUUUUAGAGUUGUCUAAGAGAGAGGAAGUGUCUUUCAUCAUUGAAUUUGCGAACAUUCUGGAACAUUGUAGGAACUAAGGAAAAGCUCAAUUAAGGUAUGUAUGGCUAAACCCUCUUCUUCUUAGAAUCAAACCCCUGGUGUACGUGUAAUUGGUGUAAGUCCCUGAAUUGGUCAUACUAGAAUAGUUGCCCAAAAGUGUUGUGUUGAAAGAUUUAUGUUCAAUGAUUGUUCUAAAUGUUUAUCAUGUCGUCAUGCUAUUUGAGAAUGUGUUUAAAUGUGUAAUAUAUAUGUUGUGAAAGGUCAAGAGUUCAUGUCAAGAGUCAAAUAAAGUUUGCUAUGCUAUUUGUACGAAAAGCCUUUGUAUGAUAAAAAUUUCCAUGCCUUCCCCAUGUUUAUGUGGUGCUUUACAUGGUAAGCCUUAUUGAUGUGGAUGAAAAUGUUAUUUGAAUAUAUAUAAAAAGGGAAACUUGAAUUGUAUGAUAUGGCCAAGUGCCAAUAAGAAUUUAAUAAAUGAGGCCACUCGUGCCAUGUAAUGAAAGAUGGGAAGGACAUAUGAAUUGAGAUGAACGAUUGAAUGGUUGAUGUGUCAACUGAGAUGGCCUAGCCGAUCGGGCCAUAAUCGGACACCAUGCCGCACACAUGGUGGUAAUUGUGCUGGACUGAUUGAUUGAAAUUGCGGAAAUGGUUGAUGUAUCAAAUGAGAUGACCUAGCUGGUCGAGUUAAGAUCGGACUCCAUGUAAGAACAUGGUGGUAUUGUGGAUUGUGGCAAGUGGCACGUGGUACUGAGAUUAUCAAACUUAAAUAAGUUGGAAACUUAACCAGAAAUUGUGUGAUCCUUACUUGAUGUUUUCAUAAGUGUUUGAAGCUCUUAUUGUAUAUUAUGACUGCAUUCCUUCUUUUCAUUAUUCAUUCUAUUAAGAUUGGUGUUUUGUAUUACAUAAUAGUACUAUUCGACAGUACUAACGUCCCUUUUGCCAGGGGCGCUACAUUUUUUAAUGGAUAUAGGUGGUUCCGUAGUAGACAGUGUUGAUUGCAGCUAGUGGCACGUCCUCUUUCUAGCUAACUUGGUGAGCCCCCACAUUAUUUCGGGGACCUAUAUCUUUUGUAUCUUAUGUUCACCUUCUCACCAUAUUUUGAGGUAUAACCUAGGCCUUGUUGCUGACACUUUUGUAGAACUUUCUUUAUAUCUACGUAGAGGCUCUGUAGACAUUUUUGUGGGUUGUGUAUGGGUGUUGGGAAGGUCAAUGAAUUAUGUUAUGCUUUGGAUUUCUGUUCUUUUUAUCGUAAGUGAGUUGGAUAAGAAGUGUCAACAAGCUUGCUCGGCCGGGUUCACUCGGUUGAGCGCCGGUCACGCUCUCCGAGCUUGGGGCGUGAUAGAGGGAAUCCUUACUGGCUCUCCCAACAUCAUGCUUGAAUAAUGUUGUGGAAUCAUUACUGCCUCUCCCGACAUCGUGCUUGAAUAAUGUUCUGGAGUCGUAACAUAUCUAUAGGAUCUGAAUAAAUUCAAUCUCACUCCUUUCGCCUUUUUACCGCAUUCUUCCUUUACUAUUCCAUAGUUACUUGAAUUUAUAUAACUCCGACUUACUACCAUAUCAUACCGUCUUCUCCCUUUUAGGGGAGUACUAGCAUUUAAUGCUAUGAAGAUUUACCUAUAUAUGGUUUACCUCUUCAUCUUUGGCAUGUUUUCUCAUCUUCACUGACUCUUACUCACCUUACCGUAACCCUUCUAUACCAAGGAUAAAUGAAUUUCUUACGUGCGAGUCACCCAGUGUAACUGGCACACUUAGUCCCUUAAGCAUAACUCUGCUCACAUUGCUUGCUUUAGGGAAGCGUUUUCUUGAAUGACCUUUAAAGGUUAUUCUUCCAUUGUCCAUUCUAUUUUUGUCAGAACAUAGUCUCUGAAGAUCUCACAAUGUCGACUAUCAUCAAAUACUCUUAUCCCUAAUUCAUGUUCGAUUUAUCUUGUUUACUAACCUAUGCUGAUUUCAGUUACUUGGGGCGGGGGUCUAACUUAGUCUUCUCGUAAUUAUGUUGGAGUCAACAACUCAUUUUCUUGAAAUAAGGAUAUGACUUCAUGGCUUAUACUCUUUUAUUGUCUCAAGGUUUGUCACCUCUUGUAUUUUCCUUCACUUGACCAUAGACUCUGUCUUCCUACUAUAUUUUCAUUUACCAUUAUCACUCAUUUAUCAUACUUUACGUAUAAUGCUUCAUUUACUUUCUUCUUAUUCUCCUGCUAAUAUUUUUGUCUAUCACAUUAUUAUGAAAAUCACAACAAAACAUUGUUUCACUUUUUUAGCUCACCUAGCUUAUUCCACCAUUAUGGAUUACUCUAACCCAAGAUGGAUCCUAAUAUUCCAUCUUCUCUUAAACUAUAUAUGUUAGCUCCCAUAGGGCAUAAAUGAGAUGAGUAUGGCCAAUUGUACGUACCUUUAUUUCCGUUGAAGGUAACUUAAAGCCUUAUAUUUCUCUACCUGAAUUGAAAAUUUGGAUAAUCUUCAUUAAUUGGGUGCCUCGUACCAUUCUUUACCUUGCUUUUGUUAUCUGUUGAAACUUAUACUUUUACAUUCUAAUACUCCCAUGGCCUGCUAUUCACGGGGUAUAUUAGACAUUCCCGUCUUAGGGUAUUAAGUAGGAAAUCCUCACAUCUAGUAUGCACGACCUAAUAGGGCCUCAAACUGGGCCACAUUGUCAAGAAUUCUCUCUCUACUAGUGCCCUUACCUGUUGCUAUAUUAACCCUCUGGCUAGUUGUAAUUUUUCAAAUUACAAGCAUCUCUAUAAUUAGCAAACAAAAGUCUUGGCUCUAACUCUUAUGACUCGGCUUUAUAGCACGAUGUAGAUUUGAAAAAAGGAUAACAUACUCCUAAAUGCGUUGUGGCUUCUUGUUUAUAUAAUGUGGUGCAUAACACAUCUAUAAACAAGGCUCUACUAGACACGACUUGUAGACUCUAUAGGAUAGAACUGCUCUAAUAACAAGUUUGUCAUGCCCCAAACCCGAAGAGGCGUGGCCGACACCUGGUUCCAUGCUCGACCAGAGCGUACCACUCUAUAACUAUAAACUCUAAAGGGGUAAUCCUCAACUUAGGCUGAUGAAGCCAUAUUCUGAAUUGUCUGAAAAUAAUGCCUCUCUCACCUGUGGAGUAAACAUACCCAAAGGCUGAUACAUAUAAUUGUGUAGGUCGACAAGAUGCCAUGAACAUCUACUGAUAUACAAAAUAUAAAGGACUCAUCUACAAGCCUCUAGAGAUAACUGAACUAUACCAUGGUUUGGACAGGGCCUCGAACUACCCAUCAAAUCUGUAUAUAUAAAAUGUACUCCAAGGUCUAGACCUGGUAACUUCGAGGAAGUGGAGCUUACCAACCAAGCUGAUGUCUAACUCUGUCUACUGCAAAGGUCUAUCAAGCUGUCUAUCAGGACCUGCAGGCAUGAAAUGUAGCGUCCCCAGCAAAAGGGACGUCAGUACGAAAUAAUGUACCGAGUAUGUAAGGCAACAGAAUAACUGAAAGCUGAAACUGAAAUAAUAAUAUAAUAACUAAAAGUAACUGGGAGUCAAAGAUAAUCUGAAGAUAUGCUUACCUACUGAUACUGACUCAACUCUCACAAUACAGUAAGUAAAAUAGCUGUCCGGCCUCAUAAGGCUCGGUAUGUGUAACUGCUCUGCCGUAGUAGGCUUGCUAAUAGGCACUCAGCCAUACUAGGCUAUCUAUCUCGGCCAUUCUAGGCUCGCUGAUAGGCGCUCGACCAUAGUAGACUCGGUAUAUAAUUCCCCAUCUGAUCAGAGGUUGCCGAAUAGGGGCCUACCCAUUUGUUAUAGCUCGAUGGUGGUGAAAAUACUGUAAUACUCUCUCUCUCUAUAUCUAUAUAUAUAUAUAUACACAUACAUACACUAUCUGCUCUCUUGGCUGAAAGAAGACAAAACUAAACUGAAUAUGAAGUCUUGAUAAGGGAGAAUGUUGUAACUUAUGAGACUAGGAAAAUGUACAUAAAUUCAGGAAUAUGAACUUCUUUUUAUGUCUCGUUAUCAAACACAUGUAGUUAUUGGGUCAUGCCAAAAUGGAGGAAAGGUUUAGCCUUAACAUACCUUAACUCUGUUGAGUCUUUGAUACCUUCCAAUUCUUCAAACAACUCAGCUCAAUCUACCACAACAUAAGGAGAUUCAAAAUCAGUGCUGAGUAUAGGCUAAUUUCAUAACUUAAACUAGUAGCUCGUUUACAUAAAUUUGGGCAGCACCUCCCCUGUAACAAGGCCCUCCUCUAAUACAAUAUACCAACAACACCAAGAACAAAAAAAUAACAACAUGUAUGCAGCAUUUUCCAACCUUAUAUCCAUCCCAAUAUAUCACAAAAUAGCCCACACACCCUAAUCACUCCAUACAUAAAACGAUAACAAAAGUAGUGUCAAACAACCUAAAAAUGUAAUGAUGAAUGACAAGCCCACCAUUCUAUCAUUAUUUGGUGUUUCUCCACAUCUUUUAUCCUCCAAAACUCCACAAAACAUCAGCAAAAUAGACAGCCCAAAAGCAACACGAGACAGCCCACAAAAUAGUCCACUACUAGUUAAAUAACUCAAACUCACGGCUUCCGAUCACUGUCCCAUGAGUUAUAACUAUUAGGAAAGUAAUUUAUCAAUCUUACUUGAUACUUAAUAUUUAAAUACAGAAAGUAGACAGUUUCUUAACUAUGAAGUAUGUUUACCACGAAAAUUGUAAUAAUAAUUAGAUUUGAUUUUGUGGUUCUAAAAAUACGUGAUAUGUUUUAAUUCUAGUUGUUAGACAAUUAAUUCUAAGUGAAAGACUUGGAAACUAGAUAAUAGCUUGAAAACAAUGUAAUAAUCAAACCGAAUGACUAAAAACUGGGGCCUCGAGCUGGCGUAUACAGGGCUUCGAGGUCGAGUCGGAUACUCGACUAAGGGCAGUCGGUGGAGGAUUAACAGUUAUAAUAGAUUUGAUGGCGACUCUUUACGAUCAAUGAUGAGCAAUAAAUGAAGAACAACAAAUAGAACACAAUAAAGGUAAACACUAAAUAUAAGUAGUGAAAUCAAGGGGAUAUGUUAAGUUAGAGAGCAGAGAGAAUGUUCUUAUGUAUUCAAUAUUGUGUAUCAGAUGUGUCCACAAAAUGACAAGAAGCCCCUUUAUAUAUAGGGGAGAGGGAAUCCCAACAUAGUACAAAUGCAUUUAUUACAAAGAUAUUGGACUGGUACAGCCAUUUAAUGACAUGAUACAAGUUUGGACCAGCUUAAUAGACUUUGUCAGCCCUAGUCACAUGCCUUAGGAACCUCACAUCGAUCCACUGUAGCCGCUGAUUUACACUGCAUCGAAGCCGAUCGUUGUUUACGCUACCUCGAAGUCUAUCACUGAGAACCCUCGGGGUCGGAGCCCUGACUGAACUUCGAGCCUUCUAGGGGUAGUCUCUAUAAGGCACCUUGAUGAUCGUAACAUUGAACUGCUGAUAUUUACCGUAUACAGAUAGUCAUCGUGUUUCCUAGAAUAAAAUGAUAGGAAACAGUUUUGAACUCCUACUCCUUAGGAACAAUCAUCAUGACGUCGGCUUAUCAGAGCAUUAAAUGCCAUAACUCAAAAAGCCGUGCACAUGUCGCUGUCAACAGGACUAUUGAGAAGUCCAUGAACCGCUAUUGGUUCAUCUUUUCCGCUGCCCCAUAUGUCUUCUAUAAAUACCUCAAUCGUUUAAUGAUUCACACUUUUAUAACAUCUUCAAGCUUUCAGAGCCAAGGCCAUCCCCUUUCACGUUCUUCCUUCUUCCGUUCUUGGUUUCUUACUUACUUUCUCAGAAAGGCCUUUCCAUCACCAUGGCUAGAACCUCUAAAAUAGUGCCUCGAAAAGAGGAUACCACAUUUUCGUCUCGAACAUCCAACGGCAAACCCAAAGUGACACCCACUAUUGUACAGUGUACCCCUACCGAGUUUGAUACUGUGAAUGAUUUUUCUAUCAAGACACCCUUAUCUAUGUCGGGCCGAUGCGAACAUGUGUCCUGGUAUAUCGGCGUCCUGACUAAUAUACAAAAAGUGAGGGACGACUGUCGAUGGGAGAGGACAAUGCUGGUUGAGAUUCCUAGCUCUAAAGAGAGCAUAAUAGAUCAUAAGGCUGGCUUUCUUCAUGUAUAUACAUACCCAUUCACUUUGGGCCCCGUUGAUUCUUCAGAUCCUUCUUCUCCGGCGAUAGAUCCGGUUAUUCUCGACUUCUUCCAUAAGUAUAAAGUGACGCUUGGCCAAAUUUAUCCAUCUUUCAGGAUGAUAGUCUAUAUGCUACGAUAUUUUUCCAGUAAGGUCGUGGUCAUGACUUUCACCCUUGACUACUUGAUUAGACUAUAUAGCCCUUAUCUCUUUCGAGGUCUGAUCAAGCUUCACCCUCGAUCCACGAUGCCGUUUUUCUCGAGCAUUGAUGAGAACAAGUAUCGAGGAUGGAUGAGUAGGUUUGUUCAAGUGAGGACCUCAGACAUCAUCCCGGCCAAAAGGAUGCCAUUCCUGGAGGAGUGGAAUAUGAAGCGUAAGUACUUCUCCUUCGAACAUGCUUUAAUGUCUUCUUACCUUCUUCUCAAAAAAUGAUCUUCCCUUUGUUUAUGCAGCUACCAUUUGGUAUCCUGAAGUGUUCCAGGACCUAUCGUGAUGGAUUAGGCAAUUGGAUACUUCGUUCCCUUAUCUUGAGUGGUCUUGGCCCGACAUGGCUAAAACGUGGUGGCCGGCCAAGAAUCACGGUAAGCCUCUGUUGUUGCCUGUACCAUGUUUCAAUUAUCACUUUCCCAUGGAUAAGCUUUGAUUAUUAUGCUUGCGUAGGUCUUGGUGAUGGAAUGCUGAUGAGACCGCCUCCCAACAGCGAGGAAGGGGCCCCGAAGCCCAAAAAGGGCAAGAAGAGGAAGAAAAAGGCAGCUGCUAAAUCUCUUGUGUCAAAGAAGCCCAAAUAAUGCAGGCCUCGAGCUGCUGUCAAGGUCUCGACUUCUGCUUUUGGAGCAAGUCCCAGUACUGGGGAUGAAGACGACGAUGAUGAUGAGUACCAUUUGGUAUAAAGGACGAGGUCGGGCACGGAUGCCCUGCAGGUGGCUGGGCUGAGUGCCUCUGAAUCGGGAGCGGUCGAGGAAGGAAUGGAUAUGGUCCUCGAGUUCCCAAACGGACGCGGUACAGUCCCUAUCGAGGAACCCGUUGUUGAUGACCCUGAAGGGCCUGGGCCCGGAGCUUCUCAAGGACAGGAUUUCCCUUUAGAGAUAUCGAUAUCCUGGGUGGCCUUAAUUCGGAUCCUCGAUUCUCGCCCAAGGAAUUCAAGGAUGCGCAGGACCCAAGUAUCACCAAUGUGGGGGGCCCUCAUGAGGGAGGAGAUGUGCUUGUAAACUUCUUCGAUGGUGUUAGCGAGGACAUUGAUCUCGAUGCUCCCAAUGCUAUCGAGGAAGCGGAGAAGCUCCAGCAGCAGGUGAUUCCUUUUUUAUGUAUACUUUUGAUGUCUCAAAUAUUUUUCCUCGUUUUAUGACUCUUCUAUUUUUUUGUAGGCUAAGAAGAUGUACAAUCAUGCCUUCUCUAGGCUCCAAGACGAGCUUUCAUGCCGUGGAAAGGAGCUCGAGAAGCUUACCUCGGGACUGAAGGAGUCAGAGGCCUCCUCUGCCCGAACGGUGGAGGAGUUAAGCGAGCUUCGAGAAAAUUUGGAGGGAGUGCUCUGAGAAAGGGCUGGCCUCAUUGAGCAGGUAAUUCGGUAUUCCUUAACUCGUUCAUCAUCCUCACAAUUCGGUGCUUACCGACUUAUCUUUUCCUUUGUAGAUUGGGUAGAAGGAUGCUCUUGCGGUGUGACUUUGGGAAGAAGUUGCUGCUACGAAUGCGGAUAUCCUUGAGCUAAGAAGGCAAAAUAAGGUCAUGACUUCGGAGUUGACAUCGGCCCAAAGACUUCUUCGAAAUGCUCGGGAAGAGGCUGCUUCACUAUCCGCGGCCAAGUCCAAGGCCGAAGAGAAUGCCGCUACAUACCUGAAAGAUGUCACUACUGCGACUAAACUAGCUAGAGAGAUAUCAGAGAAGGCCGAGCAAAAACUGGCUCGGACCAUCGCUUACACUCGUGCAAAGGCAAUGAGGAAGACCCUAGACAAAGUCAGCGCUAAAAGUGUCGAUCUCUCGGCUGAGAUCGAGGAGGCGCAAGAUUUUGAGGAAGAAUUGGCAUUCUCGGCCACUUCGGAUGAGGAUCCCGGAGAUGGUUCAGAGUGCAGUGGUGGUGAAAAGUUGACCUACGUUGUCUUUGUUUAUCUUUUUUCUUUUUGUGUAUGUAUUUCCCGGGGAAAAAGGUCUUGUAAAGAUUCCCCCUAUAAACAUAUUUUGGCAAUUUAAGAAAAUAUGUCUACUUCCAGUCUUGAAUUCGUUAUUUUUCAACGAUCACGCAGAGUUUAGCCUUUGAAUUUUGAUGUCCACUCUUAGGAGUCCAUAUUUGGGGCAAUCGGGACCCUCGAGAUCGGGCACCAUCUCGAGAUUAGGUCGAUAGCUUUUUGGAAUCGAUGCUUAUAAUAAAAAAAAUCCUUGGGGCCUCAACAUCUCCCGGGCGCUGUGUGAUAGAGUCGUUUAUGCGACACAGUCGUGAAGCGGCCGUGGUGGUCCCACCGGUACAUUUCCCAAAAAAGUGGCACAGACAUGGUCAGAACUAAUUGGUCUUCAGGAUAGUCGAACAGUCGCUGCUUACCCCUAUAUAUGCAUUUGCUUGUUUCUUAACUGAGGAUUCCGCUAAUCUGAGUAACUAUUUCUCUUAUAGAACUCUUAUUCUUUGUGCUAGAUGUCUUAUCAUUUCAACUAAAAGGUUUCACCCAAGUCUUCAUCCUCCUCUUCUUCUUUUACCGUAGCCAUGGAUACUACAUUAAAAUCCGUUCAUCAAAGAGAGGAGAGUUCUGCCUCCAUUUCGUGCUCGAUCGGUAGUACACUGCCGAUAUCUGGUGAGCUGACCUCGAGGUUGUUUGUCUUGAGGAGAGACUUUACAUUGGAGAGACCGCCCAAUGUUCAAGGCCAUCGGGGGAAUGAAUUGAGGUUCAUCUCCUCAAUAGGGGUGGAACAUCUCGAGAUGGUUAGGAAGGACUGUGGAUGGGGAGAAGAAGUGGUACUGCAGGUACCUUCCCUGGAGGAUAGAGUUAUGGCUCAUGUCGAGGGUUUUUUGAAUGUAUGUACAUAUCCCUUUACUUUGGGCCCUCUCAAAAAGGUUGUUCUUGAAUUUUGUAGAAGAUACCAGGUUACUUUGGUACAGAUUCACCCGUCGUUCUGGAGGAUAGUGCUAAUGAUAAGAUAUUUUGUAGUUAAGGUCAGACUCGAGUUCACCCUCAGCCAUCUUAUUAGGUUGUAUCGUCCUUUGCAUUAUCGAGGCUUGAUUGCUCUGCAACAUCAAUCCACCCGCCCUUUAUUGCCAGCAAUGAAGAAGAUUGGGAUAGUGGGUGGAUGAGCCAUUUUGUCCGAGUACGGAUUGGCGAUAUUAUCCCUGUAGUGUUUCUUCCAUUUCCUGAGUAAUGGAACCUUACACGUAAGUGGUAUACACGUGUUCUUAUUGCUUCUAUCCAUGGCAGAGGUGGACCCUCUAAAGAUGCUUUCCUUUUCUCUUUUGCAGCGAUCCCGUGAAUGCCACACGAGGUUUCUGACCUGGCUGAUUAGUCUCGGAAACUGACAACUUGCUUGACUUACGACGAGCGUAAGUGGCUAGAUCUGGCCAAAGGUAUAUGGAAGGCGAAAAAUCAUGGUACAUGGAAUGUGGCUUGCUUUAUUUGAAAGGUACUUUCUUUUACGCAUGCUAACCCCGUCACCGCAGGUAUUGGAGAUUUUUCCGAGAUGAGGUCGUGCCCUCUUGGGGAGGAGGAAGAAUCAUCGACUUUUGGGUCGAGGACUGAUAACAAAUGAAAGGAGCCCUCGAAGAACGAGGGUGCUUGUAGCGAGGCAGGCCCUGCUCAAAGGCUUAAAGGAAUUGUAUUUGUUGAGCCCGCGACAUCCGAGGCUUCUCUCCUUGGAAAGGUGGUUCCUCCCUUGCCACCGUCUUCAUUUCCUGCCAAAGGUACUUCGGGGGAUACAUGUGUUUAGCCUUCAUCCUCGCCCCUCAUCGAAGGUAUUUCGAGGGAUGCUCGAGACCAGGGACCACCUAAAUCAAGCGGGGUCUUGAGCGACCAUGUCCCUAUCGAGACCAGUUCAACUGGGGCUAGUAAGACUGGGCCAGUGGAUGCUCGCUCAACCUUUGAGGAGGCUCACAUCUUUGUUCGGUGGUGAGUUUGGUUUGACUUCGUAGAUUUUUGUCAUUUUUGUUUUCUCAUUGAGCUUCUUUUUCAUAGGCCUUUGAUAAGCUCAAGUCCGAGUUGCUUUGCUGUAAAGCUCGAUUGAGGAAAACCUUGGAUGGGGAAAAUCCCUCAGGCUUCUUUGUGACAAAAGGGGGAAAGAACUGAGGCACCUUCAGUACGAGGCGAAUACGAGCUUGAACUAUGAAAGCCACCUUGAGAAAUAGGUAACCUUCGCUCCAAGGGAAUGCAUGCUUCUUUUCCUUUCCCCAGAGAUUAACAUUUUGAUACUUCAGUAGCAGGGCAAGGCGAAAGAUCUGGAAUGCAUUUGCGGAAAGGUUGGCCAGGCCAAGCAUGAGUGUGACGAGCUAAGGGCUCAGACGGACACCCACAUUGCGGCCAAGGAGGAUUCUUUGGCCAAGGCUUCCACCCUCGAAAUGCAACUUCGGAAUGCUCGUGCAAACAGCUCGGUCCGGGCGAGCAUGAUUGCGAGGCUUGUGUCAAACUUCUAAAGAUGAAGGCUGAUGUUGUAGAUGCUCGGGCUGAAGUCGAAGAGAUCCGAACCAAGGCUGAUAAGAAAGUGGCCAUCUUUUUGCAAGACGCUGUCGAUGCUCGAGCUGAGCUGAGAGGGGCUAUCGACCGAGAGAGUAGGAGCAAGGAGUAUGUUAGGUGUAAAUCUCGGAGGGAAACCUCGAGGAGAUCCAUACCAGGGGAUUUGAUUUCUCAGAAGAGAUAAAACAGGUAAAGGCAAACGAAUAUGAUGGUAAGUUCCUUUUGUCCGAUGCCGAAGAUAGCGAGAAAGAAACCGACGGGCCAUAGUCCCCAAGGGGGACAUAGAUUAGGCUUUUCUUUUCUAAUUUUAUGUAUAGUGCUUUUAAUGAGCAUUGCAAAUGGAGCCUUGUAUUUUUUUGCAUAUACAUAUAAAAGGAAACUUUACGGUUUCAUUUUUCCUGCACUUCCCUUUGCUUUGAUGUUUGAUAGUCAUUGGCCAGAUGAACUGGUCUCCGAGUUAAUGAACCCUUACGUUUAUAGUACGGCCCCAGGGCUCGUUUGGCUGAACCGUAGGCUCUUACACGUUUGGUCGGUACGACCUUUUAGUGUAAGCUGGCAUUUAAGCUCUUAUGCUUUUGUUCUUAGGCAUAUUCAGUUAACUGUUUUGGGUUUAGUCUCCGAGUCGGGGUUCGACUCGAGCUCAUUGACCCUUAAGUUUUUGAAUUUAAAGCUGGCCCUUAGGUUCUUAUGCAUCAGGUCGGUACGACCUCUCAUAUGGGCUGGCGGUAGUGGCUCUAUCGCAUUAGGUCGAUGUGACCUUUUAUAUGGGCUGGUGGCAGUGGCUCUUACACGUAGGGUCGGUACGACCUCUUAAUAUGGGCUGGCGACAAUGGCUCUUAUGCGUAGGGGCGUAGGGCCGGUAUGACCUCUUAAUAUGGGCUAUCGACAGUGGCUCUUAUGCGUAGGGUCGGUAUGACCUCUUUAGGAUUUGUUUUCCCUCGUCAAAGAUUUUGACUUUUUUGUGUUCGCCCAACUCUUCGACGGCAUGCUUAGAUCCUUGAUUGUGAGUCGUUAUGUAGCGAUGAACGAGCACCUCGGGAGGUUUUGCUCGGUGGCUGAAUGUUUUGAAGCCUAUAUUUUGGAGAUGACACGGUCGAAGCUCUUUUGCCUAUGUCGAGGGUAGCCUGUUUAGCCGGUUCUUUUCGCAGUAUCUUCGAAGUAUUUGAAGGCGUGUGAUUUUAUAGUGAUGGUCGGGCAUCCCCGAGUCACGUUAGUUUGGCUGGUACAACCUUGUGACCGUAGUCAUUAUGUUUGGCUAGAGCCUUUCAGUCCCCGAGUGAAGUAGUUUUAGCGUCUAUAUCGAGGGUAUGCCUUUUUAGGGGUCUUACAAGUUCGAAUAUAUAGCCUUAUAAUUCCUUUUGUAAGGUCUUAUAAUUUUUACAUGCCUUUGAGGCCUUACAGUUUUGGUUACUGGGUACAAGUAUGGUUCAUGCCUUGCUUGAGGUCUUAUAGUUUUGGUGUUGCCUUAUAGAGGUCUCACGGGGUCGAGGUUGUCUGUAUGGGGUCUUAUGGCCUCGGCAAAGGGAAAGUUUUGUUGGCACUGGAGCCAUUUUUGUAGACUUGACGUUGCCUCAUUGAGGGCAUACGAGUUUAACGCUUCCGACCCGGUGGUCAUAUAGUUUCGAGUGUUUGAUGCCAGUCCCUGAGUGUUCGGGGCGUUCUUGGCUUCUGGAGCCAUUUUUGUAACCUUGACAUUGCCUCAUUGAGGGCUUACUAGUUUGAAGCUUCCGACCUGGUGGUCAUGCGACUUCAAGUUUUUGAUGUCAGUCCCCGAGUGUUCGGGACGCUUUUGGCUCUGGAGCAAUUUUUAUAAAAAAUACUGAACACCUUCGAAAUGCUUUGAUGGAGGGGAAAUCAUUCUUUGAUUUACCUGGUAUAGGUAUACACAUUUUUGCUGUCAAGGGCUCGGUUAUUCUAUAAGGACACGGUUCCUUCAACUAUUUUGCCCGGUACAUCAUUUUCCUAUCGAGACCCUAUUUAUCACAUCCUGGCUUCUCUUAGGAGGUGACCUUCCGUGGGGAUGUCCCCCAGUAGUUGAGGUUCAUUGAAGAGAAGCCAUGAAUACUUGUUGAGUCUUCCUUAGGUAGCAUAUGGAUGUUUCCUCAUUAAAAACCUUGCCGAUAAAACCCUUUUCGGGAUAAAAACCCGGUCGAAGGAAAAGAGUGGAACAUAUGCUUUGAAACCUUAAGGUCUUCAAGCCGGAUAACGCUUCGAGUGUCCUGGUCGGACACCUACAUGAAGGUUAGUGCAAGAUGUAAAUGAAAAAGAGGAAUGGCCAUACCUUAGUGGCGAAAAUGCUUUGAGCCUCGAUAUGCUCCCAACAUUUGCUUAGGGGAUGCGGUACGGUCCUUUGUUCAUUUUAUUUUGGUGUAGCCGAGGAUUGCCUUGUGAGUGCUAUUUUACUAUUUGCUUAUCCUUUGAAUCCUUCGAUAUCGAAGGCAUUGAUGUCGGUGCCACAUAGUGCACCACGAACAUCUCCUUGGCUGCAUGUUGUUCCCCAGAUAUGGUUUUUAUUAUGUCUUUCAUAUGAAAUUUCAUCAUUUGAUGCAGGGUUGAUGGUAUUUCUCUCGUACAGUGUAUCCAUGGCCUCCCGAUUAAAGCGUUGUACCUCAUGUCUCCUUCGAUGACAUGAAAGUUGGAAUUUUGCAUUGUUCCAGCCAUGUUGAUCGGGAGGGUGAUUUCCCUUUUGGUUGUCUCCCUCGCCAUGUUGAAUCCAUUGAGGACUCGAGAGGCGUGCACGAUCUGGUCGAGCAUUUCGAGCUGCUCCAUGACCCUUGACUAGAUAAUGUUGGCCGAGCUACUUGGAUCCACAAGUACACAUUUAAUUUGCAAUGUAUUCACAAGAAAAGAGAUUACCAAUGCGUCAUUAUGAGUUUGAGACAAGGUCUCGAUGUCUUUGUCGCUGAAGGUGAGAGCGUCCUCGGGUAUGUAACCUCGAGUUCACUUUUUUCCUGGUGAUGGAUAUCUUUGUUCUCCUGACCAUGGGUUUUUGUGGAUAAUCGAUGCCUCCUAAUAUCAUGUGGAUGACAUGUUGUGGCUCAUCUGUUUCAUCCUUCUUGGUGGCCUCUCUUUCCCGGAACUGAUUUUUGGCUAGAUCGCUAAGGAAUUCUCGGAGGUGACCUUUGUUGAGCAGUCGGGCUACUUAUUCCCGGAGUUGUCGGUAGUCCUCGGUCCUAUGACCAUAUGUGCCGUGAAAUUCACACACUAAGUUAUGGUUCAUUUGCUACGGAUCCGAUUGUAUAGGCCUUGGCCACCUAGUGUCUUUUAUUUUACUGAUGGCAAACACGAUAUCUGAAAUAUCGAUAUUGAAGUUGUAUUUUGACAAGCGGGGUGCCUCCGUCGGCCUUGUGUGUCUAUCGAACCCAGCUAGUGGAGCUGAUGAUGGAUUAAUAGUGGAGUACCCGAGUCGGAUACUCGGCUAAGGGUAGUUAGUGGAGUAUUAAGAGUUAUGAUGGAUUUGAUGGCGGCUCUUUACGAUCAAUUAUGAGCAAUAAAUGAAGAACAACAAACAAAACACAAUAAAGGUAAACACUAAAAUAAGUAGUGAAAUCAAGGGGAUAUGUUAAGUUAGAGAGAAUAGAGAAUGUUCUUGUGUAUUCAAUAUUGUGUAUCAUAUGUGUCCACAAAAUGACAAGGAGCCCCUAUAUAUAUGGGGGGGGGGGGAUCCCAGCAUAGUACAAAUGCAUUUAUUACAAAGAUAUGGGGUUGGUACAACUAUUUAAUGCAAUGAUAUGGGUUUGGACCAGCCUAAUAGACUUUGCUAGCCCUAGUCACGUGCCUUAGGAACCUCACAUCGAUCCACCGUAGCCACUGAUUUACACUGCCUCGAAGACGAUCGUUGUUUAUGCUACCUCGAAGUCAAUAGCUGAGAACCCUCGAGGGCGAUCACUGGGAACCCUCAGGGUCGGAGCCCUGAGCUGAGCCUCGAGACUUCCGGGGGAAGUCUCUAUGAGGCGCCUUGAUGAUCGUAAAAUCGAACCGCUGAUUUUUACCGUAUACAAAGUACCUUCCAAAACUCACACUAAAAAGAAAAAGAGAGGCGAUAUAUCGAUACUUAUGUCGUAGGGAUUGUUCUAGUGUUAUCACUUCUUGAUUUUGUACUUGGGAUGUUAAUAUUCUUGGAAACCCUUGUGGAGAGCUUGGGGAUAAGCUUUGGGGUAUUAUUCUGGUCGUGGUAUGUGGAAAAAUGAAGAAAGAGACGACAUAAUAUAUAUAUAUAUAUAUAUAUAUAUAUAUAUAUAUAUAUAUAUAUAUACUANNNNNNNNNNNNNNNNNNNNNNNNNAUUAGCUUUUCUUCAGGCACUUAUAUCUUAUUAUCCAGAUGUCGUAUGAACUAACGGUUAAGAGCAUUAGAAACUAAAUUCCAAGACCUUCAAUUUGGUAUAUAAUAUGUCCCAAAAGACCUCAUUUAACAUGCGAAAUAUAUUGCUCAAAAAGCUUUAGUGACACACUUACUUGUCACCCAUGCAGUCUCACAAAACUGCAAAUAUCUCUCUACUCCUAUGUUGUAUCGAUGAACAGUUUAAUGUAUUAGAAAAUAGACUCGUAGAUCUUCAAUUUGAUAGGUAGAUAAUACCCUAAUUCCAAGUAUAUUGGGAGAAAAUCGUAGCUACAUUUAACCUAGUUUUCAGCAUAUUUAUGAAUGUAACUUGUGAUGAUCCUUGCCAACUUUUGUUCCACAUCUCGCUUGACUUCAAAACAUAGCACAUGACUAUCAUAAGACAAAAAUAACUCAUAACAUAACCUCCUUAUCAUUUUUAUUACCCUAGUCUCACCCCAAAAGUACAUGUUAAAAUAUUCCCAACUUGUCGACUUUCUACGAAACUUAUUUUCGUCAAUUGGUUUAGCUUCUUAGCCUUCCAACCCUCUUGGUACUUGCAGUCCAUGAUCUUAAAUAUUUGUAACCUCAAAUUAACAUGAUUAACUUACUUUAUGUACUUUUAAGGAUGUUCUCAUUUCUUAGCUUACAUCAAUUGGCUUACGAUGUACUUUUGCAUAUGAAAACAUGAGGUGUGACACCUUGGGUCUAUUAUUCAAGGAAAUGGGGAGAUUGAUGAGGAUUUUACUCAUCAUAUUUGAGCGGGGUGGAUUAAAUGGAGACUUGCAUUCGGUAUUUUAUGUGAUAAGAAUGUGUCACCUAAACUGAAGGGUAAUUUUUACAGAGUGGUUGUUAGACCUGCCAUGUUGUAUGAAGCAGAGUGUUGGCCACUCAAGAACUCUCAUGUUCAGAAAAUGAAGGUAGCGGAAAUGAGGAUAUUGAGAUAGAUGUGAGGACAUACCAUGAUUGAUAUAGGGACAAGGUAUAAGUAGCCUCGGUAGAGGACAAAAUGCGAGAAGUGAGACUUAGGUGAUUUGGGCAUGUGAAGAGGAGAAACACAGAUGCUCUAGUGAGAAUGUGCAAGAGGUUGGCCUUGGUUGGUCUGAAGAGGGGUAGAGGUAGGAAAAAUAAGUACUUGGGAGAGGUUAUUAGGUAGGACUUGGAGUUGGUUCAGCUCACUGAGUAAAUGACUCUCGAUAGAAAGGUGCGAAGGUCGAGAAUUAGGGUAGAAGGUUAUUAGGUUGUGGAGUCUGUGUAUUCCCCAUACCGGUAGUAGUAGUUAGUCAGCUUUGUGUUUCAGUUAUUGAUAGCCUUGAUUACUAUAUGUUUUCUUAUUAUAUUGCUGUUGAUAAUGCUUGUUCUCUUAUUAACUUCUUGUUUUAUAUUACCUUCAUGUUGGUAUUGCUUGUUGUUACUACUUUUUUUUACUUUCCUUGAGAUGUGGGUCUAUCAUAGACCCUCUACCCUCAAGGUAGGGGUAAGGUCUGCGUACACACUACCCUCCCCAGACCCAUUCGAGGGAUUAUACUAGGUUUUUUAUUGGUGUUAUUGUUGUUCGGAUUUCCUCAGUUUGCUUCCUCUAGAGUGUAGCACCUUUCUAAUAGUAUGGAUGGGUGUUAUAUGCUGGGAUAUAAGUGGGUUGAAUUGGAGGAUGAGUGUUUGUGGGGUAGGGAUUGGCUCGACAAGGAUGAAUUGGUUGAUAAUAGGGGUGAAUUUCUGUCACUUCUUCUUUCUUCUUCUUUCCACUACCGAUGGAUCGGACUGUAUAACGUUGCUAGAAGCUUGUGGCAUGACCAUUGACUAUAUCUUCCAUGACUUAAUACCUUCUUCUAGGAAAUCUCCCAUUUUGACCUGUUCGGGGAACUUUUGGCACAUCAUUCCCUUAAUCUUCUCGAAGUAGAUUCCUUGUUGAGCACAAAUGAAAUACUUGGUCAUCUUGUUUCCACCCAACGAGGGUUAUGCUUUUGUUUAUUCUAACCUCCAACAGCGAGCAUACUCUUGAAACGACUCGGAGGGUUUCUUCGGUAUGUUCACCAAAGUGAAUUUGUUGGGGGUGAUCUCAAUAUUGAAUCUGAAGAUAAAUCUCCGGCCAUGUCUUGCCAUUCUCUCCAGUUUUUGGGGUCAUGCCUAGUGUACCAAGUGAGCUCUUCCCCAGUCAAACUUCUUAUGAACAGUUUCAUGCUUAACUUCUCAUUACUUCCCACUCCUACUAAUUUGUCACAGUAUGCCCUCAAGUGAGUAGGGGAUCACCUAUUCCAUCAAAGAUAUCAAACUUCGGAGGCUUGUACCCGGGUGGCAUAUCAACAUCAGGGUGUAUGCAUAGGUUUUCAUAAUUCAAGCUCUCACUCCCUCAAGCAACUUGCAGGUUCUUCAUCUGCUUCCUUAGUACCCAUAGUUAUUCUGACAUUGAACCAUCCUAUUUAGACUUUGCACUCUAUCUAUUUCAGCAUACUAGUCUAUCUCAUAAGGCAUUCUGACUGUAAGGGCACGGUAAAAGUAUGUUUAGAUGUGGUAUAUAUGGGUGAAACAUAUCGCUUAUGGGUGGCAGUGUGUGCUGCAGGUAUAUAUUGUAUGUUAGUGUUGGUAAAACUGACAUUUUCACAAGGAGGGUUUUGAAUCAAUUUGGCGAUGGUUGGUGGAUUUUGUGGAGUUGAAACAUAGUUGGGAACAUAAGGUGUAUAUACGAGAGGGUUUGGUUGGUUUGCAGGAGUAAUUGGUGGUAUAGAGUAGGAUAUGGCGGUGUUUGUAGUGAUAGUAGUUGAGGUAUUAGUAGGUUGUCGGGUCAAUGGAGGAAAGUGGUCGAUGAUUGAAUCAAAUGAUGGAAAAUAAGGUGAUUAUGGAAGCAUCGUCAUGGUCAGAUGUGCCAACUCCCGGAUUUGUUGUACCGUUUCCCUUAAUGACUCCAUCUCUUGUUCCAUUCGGGCAAUAUGCUCAUCAUUCUGAGUUUCAUCCCUCCCCCUGAUCCUCCUAGGUUGCCUGCUACCAUUAGAUCAUUUUUGGUCGGGUUUUCUAUAGGUUAUACGGUGGCUCGACCAAUUCAUAUUUUAACACAAAUCAACCUCUAGUUAGAGGAUAGAUAAAAUAAUGCGAUAAAGCAAGAAAGCAAAUAAAAGUAGAAGUUAGUUUAGGAAUUGCAUAGAUAUAAUCACAUAGACCAGUUAGUUCACAUAUUCAAAUAAGUGCAUUUCCUAAAAUAUUUAAGGACCUCUCUUUGCUGGAGGUAGGCUAAUAUCACGAGCAUUUGAGAAACAAAUAGAUUUGACAUAUUUGGAUCCAGAGAAAGCUUAAUUUUUAUUGAUGGAGUUUGCUGAUUACAAGUGGGUUACAAGGGAUGCAUUACUGAUACAAAGACGGAGGGGAUAUUGCUAAUGGCUACAAUAUGGUAUUCCAGGGUUUACAAAGGUUGCAUAGGCGUAUAGAAUCUCCCUUGGGGAAUUAAAAGUACAAGAAUAAAAUCAACCAACAACUUAGUAAUCGUCCCCGGAGUCUCCUCCCAAGCUCUCUUCCUCUGGAUCUUCUUUAGGAUCUUCUUCAACCUCCUCCUCAUCCUCAUCAUGGUUGUAAUCUGGCUCUUCUUCUGGAUCCUCCUCUAGUUCUGUCUCGGACUCAAUUUGUAUAUUUUAUACUAUUUGGUUAUCAUCAUUUGGAAAUGGAAGCGUGUGAUCAACUGAUCUCGGGACUACCUAUUGAUGCAUGACAGCAGUUACAAGAUAUUGAGGCAAGAUCUCGUGGUAUAUCUGUAAGGUUGCUGCUGAGUCUUUUAAUCUAGCUAAUCCUUCCCUAUUGGGCUUGGCCAAUUAAUCUCUUUCAUUGAUCCACACAAAAUACUCGGGCGUGCGCCAUGAGUUCUGCCCCAUUCCCAUUGUGAUUAGGUCAUUCCACUUGUUCUGGAGCCUUCUUACCCUUGGGAUUGGAAUCUUCCCAUUAUAGUAAUCCUCAUACAAAGUUGUCCUUUACCAAUGAGGCACAUCUUGAAUCAAAUAAAACUGCCUUAGAACCCUUAGCGGUGCAUACAACUGAAUCCCUUCAGGCCAACCAGCUCGAUGAAGUAUUUCCUUGGGCUUCUCAUAAUCGCUCUACCACUCAAUCUAGAAAGUUUUCAGUUGAUGAAUUCUCCGAUUAGGUGUUUAAAAAGCUCCUGCCACUCUUCUUGGCUAUGUGGUGUAUCCUAAUGCCUCAUCCUAUCAUUGAGACUGCGAAUCAUGUUACUAAUGCCGACAAUGUAGUCAAUGUCUGGCUCCCUUUGGAAGAAAUGCUUUGUAACCCAUAUCUGUAGCAGCAAGUUACAACCUUUAAAGAAAUCAUACCUUCUCAAACAUGAUGAUAGUGCCCUGAACAUUUUUUCCAGUAUCAAAGGAACAAUAGUGACCCAAAGAUUUUCUCAGAAUGUAGCCAAAACCAGGGGAAGUAUGUUGAUAUUGAUCUACCACUUCCUUUGUGGGAAGACCAGAAGUCCCAACAGUGCUAAAGAAAAGGUUAGGGGCAGAAGGCUAUCCCAUGCUUAUUGGUCACACUGAAAUUUCUCAAGAUGCUAAUUAUAGCUCUCGCGAUGCCAAAUUUGUCAAAAAACUGGUCCAGACUCACUCAUCCGUCCUCGACACUUCUCAGUUUCUUGUUGCUCCUUCCAUUCAGUGCAUUGAGGAACCUGUGGUUUGGCAUGAUGACUGACAAUAUAGGCUUCCGUCCGGCGAAUGGUAACUUAGUGAAACUGGUAACUUCCUCAAUUGUUGGUGUCAACUCACAAUCAACAAACUUAAAGACUGUCCUAGCUAGGUCCCAGAACUCUAUUAACAACCUGGUGAGUACCCUAGUAGCUUGAAUGUUCAUUAGUGCAGUCAAUGAUCCUAGAUGCGUCCUAAUUUUGUUUCCAUGCUCUUGUAAGAUAUUCCUCCACCACUGCUUCAAUUUGUGAGGUGCUCCCAUGACCAUGCUGAUGUUUGGGAUGUUGUGGCUGAUUUCCAUCUAAAAAGGGUAAGGGUUUGGUAAGUAUUUUGCUCUAAAUCCUUGGUAUCUUAUCUGGAUUUAUUUGUCAUUCCACAGAAGACAUGUCAUUUGGUUCAUGAACUGUAGAAAUUAUGGUGGAUUUUCUAAUUGUGAGUUGAUACCGAUGAUCCACCCACCUAAGGUUUACACAACAUGACCGAUAAUUGCUAGGAAUAGAGUGUUUCCUAAAUUUUGGAGUUGGACUAGAUAACUGCGACACGAUAUGUCAGUUGGAUUGACAAGGCCGUUCUCUAAAAUUAGAGAGUUCUGAAAUAAGGUUCGGAGAUGUGAAUAUACAACCCUCUCGUGACAUUGUGUGUGAUUGUGUACGGCCAAGACUUGAUAAGAAAAAAUGUGAUGAUAGUGUACAAAGCAAUAACCAGUAAUUAUGAAUCUGUGAUAAGAUCAAGAUAAACAGAUAAACACAUAUUAGCAGGUUAUAAAGUCAUGUAAAGUGUUUGCAAGUAGGAUAAAAUAAGUAAACACAUAUUUUCAUGUUAAACACAAUUAAAACACAAUAUAACAAACAUCCCAAAGUUCAAGUCUGGCCUAAGUCCGCUAAGGUCAGAACCUAAGUGUAAGUCCCAACAGAGUUACCAUAUUGUUGCACCCUAUUUUGUGCAGGUCAAAAUAAAAUACAACUAAUGGUUCUUCUGAAGUUGAUAAAAAGAGUCGACACCUAAUAUUUAAGGUAUAUUAGGGUACCUAUAUGUCUGUGAAAAUUAUUAUCCUAAUGGUCAGCUAACCGGUAAGAUUUGGGUAAGGGUACUAUUAUUUUAAGGGAAAAGGGUUAGACAUCCCUUAAAAUCUACCUAAGAUAGAUCCUUAAACUUAGGCUAGGAUCGGGGAAAAGAAAUGUCUAUAUUCUAGUUGAUUAUUGGUUGAAAUUUAUAAGUGAGACUUCAAAACUUUUAAGUUUUGCUUGAAAGCUCACUUUUUGAGAAAAUGUUGUCUAUAUUAUUUAGGAAUAUACAUAUACACAUAAUAACAAAUAAUAAUAGCUAUCGAUUAAAAUGAGAGGAAGGAAACCUGGACUCUUAAGAUUGGGCUGGCAAGCAAGCCAGGCCUAGUUUGACUAUAGUAGCGGCAGACUCUAACAAGCGGGAAAGUAGCCCAGUUCUGGAUCUUGGGCCUGAGUUCCAGGUAAAACUCAUCAGGCCCAAUCGAACAUGCAUAUAAAAGAGGAAAGAUAAUAAUUAGUGCACAUAAAUAUAGGGUGAAAUAAGAUAAAAACAUAACAUGUAAUAAUAACAAAAGAGCUGAGGAAUGCAGCAAAGUUAUUUUUAUUUGUGCUAACCCUAUGACAGAUUAAUUGAAGUUAGUGACCAAAGGCUUAGGGUAAACUACAUUUAUAAAUGAAGUUCCCUUAUUGACCUAACAUUUCAGGUUUCAGUUAGUCUUAUGGACCCCAGCAGUGGUUGUGCCUGGGAGGGGUACCUUAACCACAAACCAAGCUCACACCCAAAUACCCUUGAUAAUCAACUCCUACUCUUCCUCAAAGGUUUGGAUAAAAACAAAGUGUCAACUUAGUAGUUUCACAUAGCCAACAACAACUAUCACUAGAGUACAAGGCAUAAGCAGCUCAGAACCAACACAACAUUGACUUUAAGACCGUUUAUUAGAACACUGAGUUUAAAGAUAAAUCAUUGCAGGUAGACCUUUAGGGUUCUAAUGAUAUCUAAGACCCCGAGGUUGAUCAUUACAUGUACACGAUACUUAAGAGGAUCGCUACUAAGUUUUAGUCAAACAGAAGUUGUAAAACAUAAAUGGCUGAUUACAUGCUACCAAUAGAUAUGCUCCAUUUACAAUUUUAAUAUCAGGGAUGUCAUGUUAAGCAGUCUAAUGUAUUAGUAGUUGUCAAAGGUGAACAUGAUACUUAUUCUAUUAUCCUCCCUAAAAUUCACUACUUCAAAACCUUAUCUAAGGAUGUUCAGAUUACUUAGAACAAGUUACAAAAUACUGUGACAACUUUCAGAGUAGUUUUAACAAGUAUGCACAUAUCUGAAAUUUUAUUCAUUAAACACUCAUGUUAAUAACUUCACUCAGACUUCCCAAAGAGUACAUCAAUUAACCAUAUCAGUAGAUACAUCAAUAUAAAUGGGAAAACUAGUUUAGUGUUUGUUUAUACCUAAUGGACAUGGUAUCUAGUUGUGAUAAUACAUAGUCUAUCAGGUUUACAAAUUACCAGAAACACACAACACUCAAAUUCAUGAGAGAGUACUUCUAUAUCAGUGAUGUCAUACAAUCAUGAGAUAACAAAUAAUGACACUUAUUAUUAAUUGGUAAGGCUAAAGCAAGAAGAUCACAACAUGUUUUCAUUUUAGAUAUGUGGACAAGUUUACUAAAAAAGUAUGCCAACAAAUUUAGUACAUGAUUUUUAUAUAUGUAGGUUUUCAUGAUAGGCACUUAUAAAUCAUUCUAUCAGAAUAACAUAGUAUCUUGAUCAAGUCUAGAGUUAUUUAGGUAAGCUGAUUAACGUAGGAGCAUGCGCAGAAUCAUCAAUAAGGAUAAGUGAAUAGUCUAGAAUACAUCUCAUGAUCUUAAGGAUUGAGGUAAACAUAAUGGUGCUGGCAUAAGGGUCUUAGCUAGUUAACACAGUUAUUUAAGCAUAAAGUUUUCUCAAGAUAAGGCAUGUAAAGGUUCAUAAACAUAACUUGACUAACAAAGACAAUAUGAUAGACGUAAGCACAAGUAUAUAAGUCAAUAAGUGUCAUUCGAUCAAUACAACAAUACAGGUUUCAUGUAGUUACUACCACUGAGUUCAGACAGUUAUGAGAUGGAAAAUAGUGACCCUCAUUACAUGGUUGACCCCAACAAGUUGCAUCCAGAUAUGUGAGCAGACAAACUAAUAUACCGACAAGGUUCAUCAUAUGAUUUUAUUUAUUUCAAAUCAUAAUAAACACACACAUGAAUUAUUUUAUCACAGUAUUAUAAGCAAGCUGUCAAUUAGAGUAAAACAGAUCACCAUGAGAGUAUGAACAUUGGUGAGAUUCAUUUCAUUAAACUAACACAAUGCUAACACAAUAUCACAAACAUAAUGAUUAAGAUAGCAUAAUGCAGCAGGUAUUAACAUGACACCAAGAGAGGUUCAAAAGCUCGAUUCACUCAACUUAGUUAAUAUGAUGGUAUACAUAUGGAAAUUAAUUAAUUUGCAGGUAUAGAUCACACAUAAUAUCAUUAACACAAGGUUUGAUUCGCUAAUCAUACAGGCUUAACGGAUUUAUCCAUACAAAUAAAAACAUGAAAGAAACAUUUUAACUAGCUAUGUCAUGAGAGGCAAAGUUCAAUAACCAUCACAGAUUGAAUAACAACACAAGACAACAUGACUAUCGGGAGAUGCCACUAAUCUCAAAAGAAUAUGAUGACAUGAAUAGAAGGACAUAAAGAAAGAACCACAUAAUAUCAUGAAUAGCAGGUGAUUAACAUGGAAGUAUCACGAACACAAAACUACAUAACAAAUUUAAGAAAUAAAAGGGAGAGGGUCAGUGUACACUAACCUUCUUUGAAGCAGCAAACCAACUAAGGAGUGUUUAGCGACCAUUUAAGAAUCCAAACUUACAACCAACCCACAACAGUUUGAACUUGAGCAUGAAUGAAAGGAAAGAAAAAUUAGAUAAAUGCUUUUAGGCACUUAAACUUAGCAGAAAGCUCUUAAAUUUUAAUGCUCUUCUUUGUAUUUUCAGUGAAUUCUUUGGUGUGUUCCGGUGUGUUUGGUGAGAACAUUUAAUGUUCUAUUUAUAGUGGCAUCUAAGCCAUUAGGGUUCCGCUCAAAUUCAAGAGAUAAUGGAUGAUUACGAUUGACAGAUAAAGAUAGCAAAAAGGGAGAAAAAAGAAGAAAACAUAGGGGAAAAC
RNAcentral lists this long non-coding RNA (34480 nucleotides) under Nicotiana tabacum (common tobacco). RNAcentral describes it as "long non-coding RNA (NTAB_LNC002438)". Lineage: Eukaryota; Viridiplantae; Streptophyta; Magnoliopsida; Solanales; Solanaceae. The record is from RNAcentral.